Molecule: ribosomal RNA, 858 nt
Filed under: marine metagenome
Description: bacterial SSU rRNA
Rfam family: Bacterial small subunit ribosomal RNA
Source: RNAcentral
AGAGUUUGAUUCUGGCUCAGAACGAACGCUGGCGGCGUGGAUAAGACAUGCAAGUUGAGCGAUGAACUGACGAUAGCAAUAUCUGACGGGAUUAGCAGCGAACGGGUGAGUAACACGUAGGAAUCUGCCCCAAAGUUCGGGAUAGCUCGGUGAAAGCCGGGGUAAUACCGGAUGUGAUCUUCGGAUUAAAGGCUUCGGUCGCUUUGGGAUGAGCCUGCGUUCCAUCAGCUUGUUGGUAGGGUAAAAGCCUACCAAGGCAAUGACGGAUAGCUGGUCUGAGAGGACGGUCAGCCACAAUGGAACUGAGACACGGUCCAUACACCUACGGGUGGCAGCAGUCGAGAAUCAUUCGCAAUGGACGAAAGUCUGACGGUGCGACGCCGCGUGGGGGAUGAAGGCCUUAGGGUCGUAAACCCCUGUCGGGUGCGAGUAAGGGUAUACAUUACGGCAUACUUAGAUAUUAGCACCAAAGGAAGGGACGGCUAACUCCGUGCCAGCAGCCGCGGUAAUACGGAGGUCCCAAGCGUUGUUCGGAUUCACUGGGCGUAAAGCGUGCGUAGGCGGAGAAAUAAGUUUGGCGUGAAAGCCCCGGGCCCAACCCGGAAAUUGCGUUGAAAACUAUUUCCCUAGAGGAUUGGAGGGGAGACUGGAAUUCCUGGUGUAGCAGUGAAAUGCGUAGAUAUCAGGAGGAACACCGGUGGCGAAGGCGAGUCUCUGGACAAUUCCUGACGCUGAGGUACGAAGGCUAGGGUAGCGAAAAGGAUUAGAUACCCUUGUAGUCCUAGCAGUAAACGGUGUGCACUUGCUGUAGGCGGAUUCGACCCCGUCUGUGGCGAAGCUAACGCGUUAAGUGCACCG